Phragmites australis (common reed) is the source of this 1082-nucleotide long non-coding RNA. RefSeq lists it as uncharacterized. The transcript is spliced from 2 exons. The record is from RefSeq and is a predicted model, not a curated record. Lineage: Eukaryota; Viridiplantae; Streptophyta; Magnoliopsida; Poales; Poaceae.
UGAGGAGUUCUGUAACUACGGAUCCUAACUUUCUAUCGAAUUGGACGAAAGCCGCCCCAGCCUUAUCUCCUCCUCCACUCUCUCUCUCAUGGGUGUUCUCUCCCUCUCCCUCUCCCUCUCCCUCUCCCUCUCUCAAUCUCCGCCGCCGACCACAGGCCCAGUCGCUGAUCUCACCAUAGAUCGAAGCCACCGCACCAUAGGCCCUGCCGCUGACCAGAUCGGCUCAAAGCCUCCACAAUGCAGGCCGCCAUCGACCGGAUCGGCUUGAAGAUGCCGCGAUGCAGGCUACCGCCGCUUCGCUGGAGGGCGCGGUCGCAUGGAUCCGCUCUAGGCCGCCGUCACUUUGCUGGAGCUCGCGGACGUGCAGAUCCGCUUGGGUUCGUAGCUGCUUCGCCGGAGGUCGCCACUGCUCAGAUCUACUUGAGGCCACUACCGCUGCCUUGAUCCGCUUGAUUGCGCUAGAAGGAAGAAGUCGCCGAUGCCGUGAAGGGAGCCCUUCCCACAGUCAGGUCGUCGCAUCGCCUUUCCCCUCCUCUUCCGCCUGCCUCGCCUCGCCCCACCUCUCCUCGUUCGCUCUCUGUUCUCCAUUCGGCACCACCAACCGAGGUGGAGGAGUUCAUGGGGGCUUCCAGAUCGGAGAGGGGUUCCCUCGCACUGAAGGAGGGUUGCCCAUCUCGGGGAGCUGCCUGGGUUCGUCAUCACGCAGCGGAGGGCUCCAUUGUUUGUUCAUCUUGUAUGAAGGAAUUCUUGUUUGUUCAUCUUGUAAAUUUUUGUUUGCUCAUCUUGUAUUGCAUGCCUCGUGCCUUCGAAUAUGAUUUGUUUUCUCUGAGAUGGAUGCCUCAUUCCGUCAUUCGAUUGAGAGAAAUAGAGGAUCGGAGGAGGCUGUUUUGGCACCAUUUUUGUGAUUGAGAGGAGGUGGCUUGAUGUGGAUUGUUCUGUGUGGCUGGCUUAAUGCAGAGGCCGGCUCGAUGUAGCGGCUUGAUGUGAGCCGUUUCUUUUCUUUAUUUUGUAAUUACUCAUCAGUGAUCUAGACCUAUGACUGUUAAUGAUCAUGAGUGAUGAAUUUUGAUUCAGAUUCGCUA